UCGCAAGAGGGAUCUAUGGUUAGUGGCGCACGGGUGAGUAACGCGUAGGUAAUCUGCCUUCAGGGCCGGAACAACCAUUGGAAACGAUGGCUAAUGCCGGAUAAGACCACGUAUAGCAAUGUAUGGGGUAAAAGGAGUAAUUCACCUGGAGAUGAGCCUGCGUCCUAUCAGGUAGUUGGUAAGGUAAUGGCUUACCAAGCCUAAGACGGGUAGCCGGUCUGAGAGGAUGAACGGCCACACUGGAACUGAGACACGGUCCAGACUCCUACGGGAGGCAGCAGUGAGGAAUUUUGCGCAAUGGGGGAAACCCUGACGCAGCGACGCCGCGUGGAGGAAGAAGGCCUUCGGGUUGUAGACUCCUUUUGUAGGGAAAGAUGAUGACGGUACCUUACGAAUAAGCCACGGCUAACUCUGUGCCAGCAGCCGCGGUAAGACAGAGGUGGCAAGCGUUGCUCGGAAUUACUGGGCUUAAAGGGUGCGUAGGCGGUUAGAUAAG
RNAcentral lists this ribosomal RNA (496 nucleotides) under uncultured Nitrospirota bacterium. RNAcentral's name for it is "bacterial SSU rRNA". It matches the Rfam family "Bacterial small subunit ribosomal RNA", at positions 77 to 587 of the family's 1533-position model. The record is from RNAcentral. Lineage: Bacteria; Pseudomonadati; Nitrospirota.